This 514-nucleotide long non-coding RNA is filed under the name Mytilus galloprovincialis (Mediterranean mussel). The record is from RNAcentral. Lineage: Eukaryota; Metazoa; Mollusca; Bivalvia; Mytilida; Mytilidae.
GGAAAUUUUGUCCGUUUUCGGUUAUUAUCUUGAAAAUUAUUAUAGAUAGAGAUAAACUUCAAACAGCAAUUAUGUUCAGCAAAGUAAGAUCUACAAAUAAGUCAAGUGAUCAAAAUGAUCAGUUGACCCCUUAAGGAGUUAUUGCCCUUAAUAGUCAUUUUUUACCAAUUUUUCAUAAAUUUUUGUUAUCUUUUACAAAAAUCUUCUCCUCUGAAACUACUGGACCAAAUUUAACUCAACUUAGCCAAAAUCAUAAUUAGGGUAUCUAGUUUAAAAACUGUGUGCGGUGACACAGCCAACCAACAAAGAUGGCCGCCAUGGCUAAAAAUAGAAUGUAGGGGUAAAUGUAGAUUUUGGCUUAUAACUCUGAAACAAAGCAUUUAAAGCAAAUAUAACAAGGGGUUAACUUGUUUAGCUAGAAAAUAUCUAUCUGCCCUGAAAUUUUCAGAUGAAUUGGACUGCUGGUUGUUGGGUUGCUGCCCCCCAAUGGGUAAUUUUUAAAGAAAUUUGGCCG